GCUUCGGCGGCGCGGAGCCCCUCUCACCGGGCGACGCGGCCCCGCCUCUCCGGAGGUGUGGCGGCGCCCGCCGGAGGAUACGAAACUCUCAUGCAUUACAGUGGCAUCUCUGAGUACUACACAAAUAAGUUAAAACUUUCAACAACGGAUCUCUUGGUUCUGGCAUCGAUGAAGAACGCAGCGAAAUGCGAUAAGUAAUGUGAAUUGCAGAAUUCAGUGAAUCAUCGAAUCUUUGAACGCACAUUGCGCCCGGUGAGUACUCUACCGGGCAUGCCUGUUCGAGCGUCAUUUCAACCCUCAAGCCCCGCUUGGGCGUUGGGGCCCUACGGCUGCCGUAGGCCCCGAAAGGAAGUGGCGGGCUCGCUGCAACUCCGAGCGUAGUAAUUCAUUAGUCUCGCUAGGGAGGCUUGCGGCGCGCUCCUGCCGUUAAAGACCCCAUCUUUAACCAAGGUUGACCUCGGAUCAGGUAGGAAUACCCGCUGAACUUAAGCAUAUCAAUA
This 500-nucleotide ribosomal RNA is filed under the name Coniochaeta fodinicola. RNAcentral describes it as "eukaryotic LSU rRNA". The stretch from base 134 to 288 matches the Rfam family "5.8S ribosomal RNA". The record is from RNAcentral. Lineage: Eukaryota; Fungi; Ascomycota; Sordariomycetes; Coniochaetales; Coniochaetaceae.